ACCCGUCUUGAAGCACGGACCAAGGAGUCUAACAUGCGCGCGAGUCGUUGGGUCGGACACGCUCCGCUAAACCCAUAGGCGCAAUGAAAGUGAAGGCCGCCGUCGGGCGGCCGAGGGAGGACGGGGCCUCCGCGCGUUCCGGCGCGCGUGGGUCCCCGCACCCCCGGGGCGUCUGAUCCCUCAUCGCGAGGGGAGGCGCACCCAGAGCGCACACGUUGGGACCCGAAAGAUGGUGAACUAUGCCUGGCCAGGACGAAGUCAGGGGAAACCCUGAUGGAGGUCCGUAGCGAUUCUGACGUGCAAAUCGAUCGUCGGAGCUGGGUAUAGGGGCGAAAGACUAAUCGAACCAUCUAGUAGCUGGUUCCCUCCGAAGUUUCCCUCAGGAUAGCUUGCGCUCGGAGGAGAGUCUCAUCCGGUAAAGCGAAUGAUUAGAGGCCUUGGGGCCGAAACGGCUUCAACCUAUUCUCAAACUUUAAAUGGGUGAGAACUCCGGCUUGCUCGACUUGUCGAAGCCGGAGACGGGGCUCCGGCCCCCGGGAUCGGAGUGCAUAGUGGGCCACUUUUGGUAAGCAGAACUGGCGCUGUGGGAUGAACCAAACGACGGGUUAAGGCGCCCGAAUCGACGCUCAUGGGAAACCAUGAAAGGUGUUGGUUGCUUAAGACAGCAGGACGGUGGCCAUGGAAGUCGGAAUCCGCUAAGGAGUGUGUAAUAACUCACCUGCCGAAGCAACUAGCCCUGAAAAUGGAUGGCGCUGAAGCGUCGUGCCUAUACCCGGCCGUCGCGGCAGGGCGGACCCGCGAGGGUGCCGUUCGAUGCGGCGACGAGUAGGAGGGUCGCGGCGGCGCGCGCAGAAGGGUCUGGGCUCGAGCCUGCCUGGAGCCGCCGCCGGUGCAGAUCUUGGUGGUAGUAGCAAAUACUCCAGCGAGGCCCUGGAGGACUGAUGUGGAGAAGGGUUUCGUGUGAACAGCCGUUGCACACGAGUCAGUCGAUCCUAAGCCCUAGGAGAAAUCCGACGCCAACGGCGACGGGAAAAAAUUCAGAAUCGAGAAAGCAACCCGUUGAUCGGGCGAAAGGGAAUCCGGUUCCUAUUCCGGAACCCGGCAGCGGAACCGCUGUUUGUCGGGCCCUCACAAGGGGUUCGUCAGGGUAACCUAAAAGGGCCCGGAGACGCCGUCGGGAGCCCCGGAAAGAGUUUUCUUUUCUGCAUGAGCGUUCGAGUUCCCUGGAAUCCUCUCGCAGGGAGAUAGGGUUUGGAACGCGAAGAGCACCGCAGUUGCGGCGGUGCCCGGGAAUUCCCGACGGACCUUGAAAAUCCGGGAGAGGGCCACGUGGAGGUGUCGCGCCGGCUCGUACCCAUAUCCGCAGCAG
RNAcentral lists this ribosomal RNA (1369 nucleotides) under Leptagrion sp. SJI-2012. Its description in RNAcentral is "eukaryotic LSU rRNA". It matches the Rfam family "Eukaryotic large subunit ribosomal RNA", at positions 647 to 1862 of the family's 3401-position model. The record is from RNAcentral. Lineage: Eukaryota; Metazoa; Arthropoda; Insecta; Odonata; Coenagrionidae.